Long non-coding RNA from Hylaeus anthracinus, 3289 nucleotides. RefSeq lists it as uncharacterized. The transcript has 3 exons. NCBI's taxonomy places the organism in Eukaryota, Metazoa, Arthropoda, Insecta, Hymenoptera, Colletidae. The record is from RefSeq and is a predicted model, not a curated record.
GAAUGCUUCGGUACCACGUGAUUUACGAAGAAUCCGAUUGGUUCGAUAAGGCUCUGUUAGAAAUUGGGGCCCUGUCACAAGUCACAUGGUUUUGUAAAUUACAAAACUUUUGUUGUCGAAAACAGAUUAGAAGGCAAGGAAAGUAAAUCGUUCUAAAAAAAACUGUGAGAUUCGACUUGUAAAUGUGCAAUAACAUCGUUAUCUAAUCAAAUACAUUCAUAUUGUUUAAUGCAGGUUAGUAAAUGACAUCAAAAUUGGAGGUUACAUCGAGGCGCUCGUUUAAAGAUACAGUAAGACCCUAAUUAAAAGUCCGAAUCGCUGUUCCGAAACAACAUCGAUAUCAAAUAACCUCCAUGAUUAUCCUCGCGAAGUAAUCCUUUUGCUUUCUAUUUCUUUUAAUCGAUAUAUCAUUUAGGUUUGACAUGCAUAACAAAUUCCCUGGUACAAAAUUAAAUUUGCUAGAGAUCAUUGUAAUAGGACACUCGCAGAUCAACGACCUAGGAGACAGAUAUAGGUUGAGGGCGCCUGGUAUGCGGAAACAGGAUGGGUGUGACGCAGAGGGUGCAGGUUGAGGGUGGUACGUUGCGUCAUUGGAUGAUUGGUACCGCACGAACGAAUGGCGUUGCGUUAAAACAUCGUGUCUAGUUAACAAACGUUUAUCCGUUUAACUCGUUUCGUAUGAAAUGUUUCGUAUGAAAUAAGCGAAAGAAAACGAUGUCUCGUCGAGUACAGCAGAGUUAAAGUGCAUAAAAUUCUCCGAAAGAAGCCAGAUAUAGAUUUCCCUCGGCAACACGUUACCAAGGGCUACAUGCUUCUUCUUCCGUUACUGCAUGGUGCUUCAUGGCUCGUCGUGGGUGGCUGCCGUGAUGUCCUAAUCCCGCUAAGUCCCUAGGGGUGAGAUCGAUACAUCCAUUCCUCUUUCCCUCAUGUUUUCACGGUGAAAUAGAAGAGCAUCGAUGGUAGAAUUCUUAGCGUGGAAUUCGGAGACGGAAGGGUUGGCGCAGAUGAAGCGUCAGGGAGAAACAUGCGCAGAAAAAGCGAAAGAAUCAAACAUGGAACAGCGGAAACAGGUCCUCGGCUUUUUGCGACAGAACGAAAUUUUGUGGAAUAUUUCGACAUCUGGAAUCCUAUUUAAAAAAAAAAAAAAAAAAAAAAAAAAAAAAACAGAGAAACGAUGUAACGAGGACACAGAGCGUGACCCGGAUGAAGAAUUGGGACGCGAGUAGCCCGCAGUACGAGCUCGAUUUAAAAAUUGUCAAAUAAAAACUAGAAUUCUCUGUACGAGCAGGAUUCGAAAAGAAUCGACAGGUCCAAGUUUGACAAAUUAUCGGUUAUAGGCGUCAGGUCUCGACCGUUUUCCGCGGUAUUGUCUCCGGUCCAUUUGCUAUUUACAUUUUACGAGCUGCUGGGGAAUUCGGGCUUCGGAGCGUAAUUGCCGUGAAUACGGGCCAGCAUGGCUGUUGAUCCGGCUCGAAAAAUAUAGGGAGAACUGUCGCGAUGUUCUGGCUCCGCCCUUGUCUUUCCGAAACGUGUAUUCCUCGAGGAUGAGGAGAAAGGUACGAAAGGAGGUUACGAACAAAUUUGCUUGUUUUUCGUUCGUGUUUAAAAAUGUUCUACGGGGAUAAAAAUUUGUCGUGGAUAAAACUAUGGAUGGAUAAGCGUAUGUCUCUGCGAUAUAGACACGUACGUGCGUAAAGGGAUGUAUGUAUAUAUGGUGUAUAGGAAGGACGAGGAGGCUGCGAGGAAGAGGAAAGCGAGUAAAGAAAGCGACAGAAAAAGAUAAAGGAGGGAGGGAUAGGAGGGCUGGAGGAAAGGAGGAGAGGGCAGGGAGAUGCAGAGAUAGACAGAGAUCGUAGCAAAGGGAUGAAAAGGUAGAAUGGUCGCGAGAGGGUGAGAGGGAGAGGAAGGAGAGUAGAGAACUCUGCGCGCCGCAGCGCUACGGGGUGGUUGCCCUCGUCUGCGCUUUGUGGGAAAUGCCCGCUCAAUAACGCGUAGGUCCUCGUCUGCCCCUUCUCACCCUCGGAGGCAUCGCAGCAAGGGCCACUGCCCCAAAAGGCAUGGCCACCCGUCUAACAACCCUUAUCCUACUCUCCCUCCUACCCAGAAGACACUCCUCGAGUCCUCCUCCUCCUUCGAACGUUUCGCGCCGUCCGAAAAGGAUCGAACCUUGGUCCUUAUGUCCAUGUCCAUGUCCACGUCAACUCAGGGACGAACCCUGGAUCGAUGCACCCGGAUCGAUCGAUCUAGCGAUCGCAGGAAUCGCGAGCGGUUGACCUAAACGGAAGACUUAACCAGAAGACCGUCCUUCGACGACGUCCACCUCCGUGACGUACAUUGUACGAUAUUAUCCCGUCAAGUGGAGACAAUCAACAGCGAUAAAUUAGGAGAAACGAGAUCGAAUUGCUGCACGGAUCGCGACAGAGGCACUUACACUCCUCGACAAGGUGACACAACACGCUUAACCCUUCGACACCGAUGAUGCUGGGUCACUUUUCCGACGUUAAUUUCGAAGUCCCAUACCUCUGUCAUCGAGAGCGUCGAGCCAUGUGUUUACAUUGUAACUGGAUCCGUAGCAAUCGGUUCUCCCCGCUAUUCGAACUUUUAGCGACAGAAACGUUUCGAACAUGAUCGCAAAAGAAGUAGUUUUCGGGACAAAAUGUUAACGAAAAAAAUUGGUUACGAGGCAAUAUUAAUACGGUAAUAAUAUUUGCACGUAAAAAUUCGAUUCUAAGCCUUCUUUUGUAGCGCGUAUGGACUUGGAUUUCCGAGAUGGAAAUAUGGACUUGGACUCGGACUCGGUGUCCGAGGGUUAACCAUUAUCGUAUCGAAAAAUGUUGCGCUAACGCUACUCGAUAUGUAAAAAAAAAAAACAAAUAAAAAAAAAAAAUAAAUAUACACGUCGAAUUGUGUAACAUCCUCCUUUUCGAAGUCGGUUAAAAACAACGCGACCGAAGAAAACGCUCGAAGAAUCUUGCUCGAGGAUGCCUGAUACAAUUGUUUGAAUCCAGUUCAAUAACGACGAAUAAUCAGGAUACGGCUCGACGGAAUUCAUCCCAACGUAGAGAUCGCAUAGAAGGAAACAGUUCCUAUCGAACAAGAAGAAUACUUAUUGAUCCGGCAGGGGGUGGAUAUAGCGAGUACGGCUUGUACAAUACUUAAACGCCAUCCGUCGCGAAAACUAUAAACGACGCCAAUUUACUUCGUUUGACGUUGGAAAUUUCAUGCAAAACUUAUGCGAACGAAUCGUUCUCGGAAAGGGUCAUCGAGUACCUCCAGGGAACAGAGUCUG